CUAACCACCGGGAUGUUCAUAACCCUUUGUUGUCCGACUCUGUUGCCUCCGGGGCGACCCUGCCUUCGGGCGGGGGCUCCGGGUGGACACUUCAAACUCUUGCGUAACUUUGCAGUCUGAGUAAACUUAAUUAAUAAAUUAAAACUUUUAACAACGGAUCUCUUGGUUCUGGCAUCGAUGAAGAACGCAGCGAAAUGCGAUAAGUAAUGUGAAUUGCAGAAUUCAGUGAAUCAUCGAAUCUUUGAACGCACAUUGCGCCCCCUGGUAUUCCGGGGGGCAUGCCUGUUCGAGCGUCAUUUCACCACUCAAGCCUCGCUUGGUAUUGGGCAACGCGGUCCGCCGCGUGCCUCAAAUCGACCGGCUGGGUCUUCUGUCCCCUAAGCGUUGUGGAAACUAUUCGCUAAAGGGUGUUCGGGAGGCUACGCCGUAAAACAACCCCAUUUCUAAGGUUGACCUCGGAUCAGGUAGGGAUACCCGCUGAACUUAAGCAUA
Molecule: ribosomal RNA, 492 nt
Filed under: Cladosporium cladosporioides
Lineage: Eukaryota; Fungi; Ascomycota; Dothideomycetes; Cladosporiales; Cladosporiaceae
Description: eukaryotic LSU rRNA
Rfam family: 5.8S ribosomal RNA (bases 143-296)
Source: RNAcentral